GACGAACGCUGGCGGCGUGCUUAACACAUGCCAGUCGAACGAUGACGACCGAGCUUGCUCGGUCUGAUUAGUGGCGAACGGGUGAGUAGCACGUGAGCAACCUGCCCUUCACUCUGGGAUAACCUCGGGAAAUCGGGGCUAAUACCGGAUAUGAGCUCCUGUCGCAUGGCGGGUGUUGGAAAGUUUUUCGGUGAAGGAUGGGCUCGCGGCCUAUCAGUUUGUUGGUGAGGUAGUGGCUCACCAAGGCGAUGACGGGUAGCCGGCCUGAGAGGGCGACCGGCCACACUGGGACUGAGACACGGCCCAGACUCCUACGGGAGGCAGCAGUGGGGAAUAUUGCACAAUGGGCGAAAGCCUGAUGCAGCGACGCCGCGUGAGGGAUGACGGCCUUCGGGUUGUAAACCUCUUUCAGCAGGGAAGAAGCGAAAGUGACGGUACCUGCAGAAGAAGCGCCGGCUAACUACGUG
RNAcentral lists this ribosomal RNA (467 nucleotides) under uncultured bacterium. Its description in RNAcentral is "partial 16S ribosomal RNA". It matches the Rfam family "Bacterial small subunit ribosomal RNA", at positions 28 to 507 of the family's 1533-position model. The record is from RNAcentral.